GAAAAGAAUGUUAAUACCGCAUGACAUAUCGGAACCACAUGGUUCUGAUAUCAAAGAUUUUAUCGCUUGAAGAUGGACUCGCGUCCGAUUAGUUAGUUGGUGAGGUAACGGCUCACCAAGACCGCGAUCGGUAGCCGGACUGAGAGGUUGAACGGCCACAUUGGGACUGAGACACGGCCCAGACUCCUACGGGAGGCAGCAGUGGGGGAUAUUGCGCAAUGGGGGCAACCCUGACGCAGCAACGCCGCGUGAAGGAUGAAGGUUUUCGGAUUGUAAACUUCUUUUAUUAAGGACGAAAAAUGACGGUACUUAAUGAAUAAGCUCCGGCUAACUGCGUGCCAGCAGCCGCGGUAAUACGUAGGGAGCAAGCGUUGUCCGGAUUUACUGGGUGUAAAGGGUGCGUAGGCGGCUUUGCAAGUCAGAUGUGAAAUCUAUGGGCUCAACCCAUAAACUGCAUUUGAAACUGUAGAGCUUGAGUGAAGUAGAGGCAGGCGGAAUUCCCCGUGUAGCGGUGAAAUGCGUAGAGAUGGGGAGGAACACCAGUGGCGAAGGCGGCCUGCUGGGCUUUAACUGACGCUGAGGCACGAAAGCGUGGGUAGCAAACAGGAUUAGAUACCCUGGUAGUCCACGCUGUAAACGAUGAUUACUAGGUGUGGGGGGUCUGACCCCUUCCGUG
This 676-nucleotide ribosomal RNA is filed under the name uncultured bacterium. RNAcentral's name for it is "bacterial SSU rRNA". It matches the Rfam family "Bacterial small subunit ribosomal RNA", at positions 153 to 845 of the family's 1533-position model. The record is from RNAcentral.